Molecule: ribosomal RNA, 468 nt
Filed under: uncultured bacterium
Lineage: Bacteria
Description: partial 16S ribosomal RNA
Rfam family: Bacterial small subunit ribosomal RNA
Source: RNAcentral
GACGAACGCUGGCGGCGUGCUUAACACAUGCAAGUCGAACGGAAAGGCCCUGCUUUUGUGGGGUGCUCGAGUGGCGAACGGGUGAGUAACACGUGAGUAACCUGCUCUUGACUUUGGGAUAACUUCAGGAAACUGGGGCUACUACCGGAUAGGAUCUCCUGCUGCAUGGUGGGGGUUGGAUAGUUUCGGCGGUUGGGGAUGGACUCGCGGCUUAUCAGCUUGUUGGUGGGGUAGUGGCUUACCAAGGCUUUGACGGGUAGCCGGCCUGAGAGGGUGACCGGCCACAUUGGGACUGAGAUACGGCCCAGACUCCUACGGGAGGCAGCAGUGGGGAAUAUUGCACAAUGGGCGGAAGCCUGAUGCAGCAACGCCGCGUGCGGGAUGACGGCCUUCGGGUUGUAAACCGCUUUCGCCUGUGACGAAGCGUGAGUGACGGUAAUGGGUAAAGAAGCACCGGCUAACUACGUG